GACAGAGGUGCCAAGCGUUAGGCGGAAUCACUGGGCUUAAAGCGUGUGUAGGCGGAUCGUUAAGUACCUUGUGAAAUCCCACGGCUCAACCGUGGAACUGCUGGGUAUACUGGCGGUCUUGAGCCACCUAGGGGCGAGCGGAACAAACGGUGGAGCGGUGAAAUGCGUAGAUAUCGUUUGGGACGCCAACGGUGAAAACAGCUCGCUGGGGGUGUGCUGACGCUGAGACACGAAAGCCAGGGGAGCGAACGGG
This 253-nucleotide ribosomal RNA is filed under the name uncultured bacterium. RNAcentral describes it as "partial 16S ribosomal RNA". It matches the Rfam family "Bacterial small subunit ribosomal RNA", at positions 524 to 776 of the family's 1533-position model. The record is from RNAcentral.